GAGCGGUAGCACAGAGAGCUUGCUCUCGGGUGACGAGUGGCGGACGGGUGAGUAAUGUCUGGGAAACUGCCCGAUGGAGGGGGAUAACUACUGGAAACGGUAGCUAAUACCGCAUAACGUCGCAAGACCAAAGUGGGGGACCUUCGGGCCUCACACCAUCGGAUGUGCCCAGAUGGGAUUAGCUAGUAGGUGGGGUAACGGCUCACCUAGGCGACGAUCCCUAGCUGGUCUGAGAGGAUGACCAGCCACACUGGAACUGAGACACGGUCCAGACUCCUACGGGAGGCAGCAGUGGGGAAUAUUGCACAAUGGGCGCAAGCCUGAUGCAGCCAUGCCGCGUGUAUGAAGAAGGCCUUCGGGUUGUAAAGUACUUUCAGCGAGGAGGAAGGCAUUAAGGUUAAUAACCUUGGUGAUUGACGUUACUCGCAGAAGAAGCACCGGCUAACUCCGUGCCAGCAGCCGCGGUAAUACGGAGGGUGCAAGCGUUAAUCGGAAUUACUGGGCGUAAAGCGCACGCAGGCGGUUUGUUAAGUCAGAUGUGAAAUCCCCGGGCUCAACCUGGGAACUGCAUUUGAAACUGGCAAGCUUGAGUCUCGUAGAGGGGGGUAGAAUUCCAGGUGUAGCGGUGAAAUGCGUAGAGAUCUGGAGGAAUACCGGUGGCGAAGGCGGCCCCCUGGACGAAGACUGACGCUCAGGUGCGAAAGCGUGGGGAGCAAACAGGAUUAGAUACCCUGGUAGUCCACGCCGUAAACGAUGUCUAUUUGGAGGUUGUGCCCUUGAGGCGUGGCUUCCGGAGCUAACGCGUUAAAUAGACCGCCUGGGGAGUACGGCCGCAAGGUUAAAACUCAAAUGAAUUGACGGGGGCCCGCACAAGCGGUGGAGCAUGUGGUUUAAUUCGAUGCAACGCGAAGAACCUUACCUGCUCUUGACAUCCACAGAACUUAGCAGAGAUGCUUUGGUGCCUUCGGGAACUGUGAGACAGGUGCUGCAUGGCUGUCGUCAGCUCGUGUUGUGAAAUGUUGGGUUAAGUCCCGCAACGAGCGCAACCCUUAUCCUUUGUUGCCAGCGGUUCGGCCGGGAACUCAAAGGAGACUGCCAGUGAUAAACUGGAGGAAGGUGGGGAUGACGUCAAGUCAUCAUGGCCCUUACGAGCAGGGCUACACACGUGCUACAAUGGCAUAUACAAAGAGAAGCGACCUCGCGAGAGCAAGCGGACCUCAUAAAGUAUGUCGUAGUCCGGAUUGGAGUCUGCAACUCGACUCCAUGAAGUCGGAAUCGCUAGUAAUCGUAGAUCAGAAUGCUACGGUGAAUACGUUCCCGGGCCUUGUACACACCGCCCGUCACACCAUGGGAGUGGGUUGCAAAAGAAGUAGGUA
Molecule: ribosomal RNA, 1376 nt
Filed under: Kluyvera sp. SCU-B68
Lineage: Bacteria; Pseudomonadati; Pseudomonadota; Gammaproteobacteria; Enterobacterales; Enterobacteriaceae
Description: bacterial SSU rRNA
Rfam family: Bacterial small subunit ribosomal RNA
Source: RNAcentral